GUUAGACGGGGGCCCGGCCGACAAGACGGUGGAGGCAUGUGGUUUAAUUCGAUGAUACGCGAGGAACCGUUACCUGGGCUCGAACGUAAGAUGACUGUAGGUGAAAGCUUACAUCUCUUCGGAGCAUUUUACGAGGUGCUGCAUGGUUGUCGUCAGCUCGUGCCGUGAGGUGUCGGGUUAAGUCCCGCAACGAGCGCAACCCCUGCAUUCAGUUGCCAUCGGGUAAUGCCGGGCACUCUGGAAGGACUGCCAUCGACAAGAUGGAGGAAGGUGGGGAUGACGUCAAGUCAUCAUGGCCCUUAUGUCCAGGGCGACACACGUGCUACAAUGGCCGGCACAACGGGAAGCGAGUUCGCGAGGACAAGCGGAUCCCUUAAAGCCGGUCGCAGUUCGGAUUGAAGUCUGCAACUCGACUUCAUGAAGCUGGAAUCGCUAGUAAUCGUGGAUCAGCCAAGCCGCGGUGAAUACGUUCCCGGGCCUU
RNAcentral lists this ribosomal RNA (481 nucleotides) under uncultured Synergistaceae bacterium. Its description in RNAcentral is "bacterial SSU rRNA". It matches the Rfam family "Bacterial small subunit ribosomal RNA", at positions 910 to 1382 of the family's 1533-position model. Lineage: Bacteria; Thermotogati; Synergistota; Synergistia; Synergistales; Synergistaceae. The record is from RNAcentral.